This 350-nucleotide unclassified non-coding RNA is filed under the name soil metagenome. RNAcentral's name for it is "partial contains 5.8S ribosomal RNA, internal transcribed spacer 2, and large subunit ribosomal RNA". The stretch from base 1 to 120 matches the Rfam family "5.8S ribosomal RNA", at positions 35 to 154 of the family's 154-position model. The record is from RNAcentral.
GAUGAAGAACGCAGCGAACUGCGAUAAGUAAUGUGAAUUGCAGAAUUCAGUGAAUCAUCGAGUCUUUGAACGCACAUUGCGCCCCCUGGCAUUCCGGGGGGCAUGCCUGUCCGAGCGUCAUUGCUGCCCUUCAAGCCCGGCUUGUGUGUUGGGUCGUCGUCCCCCCCGGGGGCCGGGCCCGAAAGGCAGCGGCGGCACCGCGUCCGGUCCUCGAGCGUAUGGGGCUUUGUCACCCGCUCGAUUAGGGCCGGCCGGGCGCCAGCCGGCGUCUCCAACCUUCUAUUUUACCAGGUUGACCUCGGAUCAGGUAGGGAUACCCGCUGAACUUAAGCAUAUCAAUAAGCGGAGGA